RNAcentral lists this ribosomal RNA (468 nucleotides) under uncultured bacterium. Its description in RNAcentral is "partial 16S ribosomal RNA". It matches the Rfam family "Bacterial small subunit ribosomal RNA", at positions 28 to 507 of the family's 1533-position model. The record is from RNAcentral.
GACGAACGCUGGCGGCGUGCUUAACGCAUGCAAGUCGAACGGAAAGGCCCUGCUUUUGUGGGGUGCUCGAGUGGCGAACGGGUGAGUAACACGUGAGUAACCUGCCCUUGACUUUGGGAUAACUUCAGGAAACUGGGGCUAAUACCGGAUAGGAGCUCCUGCUGCAUGGUGGGGGUUGGAAAGUUUCGGCGGUUGGGGAUGGACUCGCGGCUUAUCAGCUUGUUGGUGGGGUAGUGGCUUACCAGGGCUUUGACGGGUAGCCGGCCUGAGAGGGUGACCGGCCACAUUGGGACUGAGAUACGGCCCAGACUCCUACGGGAGGCAGCAGUGGGGAAUAUUGCACAAUGGGCGGAAGCCUGAUGCAGCAACGCCGCGUGCGGGAUGACGGCCUUCGGGUUGUAAACCGCUUUCGCCUGUGACGAAGCGUGAGUGACGGUAAUGGGUAAAGAAGCACCGGCUAACUACGUG